AGACCCGAAACCCGGUGAUCUAGCCAUGGGCAGGUUGAAGGUUGGGUAACACUAACUGGAGGACCGAACCGACUAAUGUUGAAAAAUUAGCGGAUGACCUGUGGCUGGGGGUGAAAGGCCAAUCAAACCGGGAGAUAGCUGGUUCUCCCCGAAAGCUAUUUAGGUAGCGCCUCGUGAACUCAUCUCCGGGGGUAGAGCACUGUUUCGGCUAGGGGGCCAUCCCGGCUUACCAACCCGAUGCAAACUGCGAAUACCGGAGAAUGUUAUCACGGGAGACACACGGCGGGUGCUAACGUCCGUCGUGAAGAGGGAAACAACCCAGACCGCCAGCUAAGGUCCCAAAGUCAUGGUUAAGUGGGAAACGAUGUGGGAAGGCCCAGACAGCCAGGAUGUUGGCUUAGAAGCAGCCAUCAUUUAAAGAAAGCGUAAUAGCUCACUGGUCGAGUCGGCCUGCGCGGAAGAUGUAACGGGGCUAAACCAUGCACCGAAGCUGCGGCAGCGACACUUUAGUGUUGUUGGGUAGGGGAGCGUUCUGUAAGCCGUUGAAGGUGUCCUGUGAGGGGUGCUGGAGGUAUCAGAAGUGCGAAUGCUGACAUAAGUAACGAUAAAGCGGGUGA
This 617-nucleotide ribosomal RNA is filed under the name Salmonella enterica. RNAcentral describes it as "partial 23S ribosomal RNA". It matches the Rfam family "Bacterial large subunit ribosomal RNA", at positions 711 to 1324 of the family's 2925-position model. The record is from RNAcentral. RNAcentral also lists the same sequence under 2 other names. Lineage: Bacteria; Pseudomonadati; Pseudomonadota; Gammaproteobacteria; Enterobacterales; Enterobacteriaceae.